AGUAAUCUUAUCACGACGCCUGAGCUCCACUGAAUCUCUUCUGAAGAGGAUACUAACACGGAAUUUGUCUGAAAGCAACGAGAGUGACAGGGAGAAGAAAAAGGCAACGCAACUCAGCAGGUUUUUAAGUGGUGUUUGCUAUAUUUGGAGAUGGAGUUCCAGCCGAAUAUUAUCCGAGAAUCCAGCACGAUGGAGACACUGGAGAAGCAACUCAUCUGCCCGAUUUGUCUUGAAAUGUUUGAAAAGCCGGUUGUGAUCCUGCCAUGCCAACACAAUCUGUGCAGAAAAUGUGCCAAUGAUGUAUUCCAGGCUGCUAAUCCAUAUUGGCAGGGUCGAGGUACCAUGAUUUCUGGAGGUAGGUUCAGGUGCCCAUCCUGUCGACAUGAAGUUAUCCUGGACCGUCAUGGGGUAUAUGGACUGCAGAGGAACCUACUGGUGGAGAACAUCAUUGAUAUCUACAAGGAAGAGGGAAUCAGCCGACCCUUAAAGAAAGGCAAUCAGCCCAUGUGUGAAGAGCACGAAGAUGAAAAGAUCAACAUUUACUGCAUCUCUUGCCAAGUUCCCACCUGCUCAAUGUGCAAGGUCUUUGGUGCCCACAAGGACUGUGAGGUGGCUCCCCUGCAGAAUGUAUUUCAACAGCAAAAGACAGAACUGACUGAUGGAAUUGCGAUGCUUGUGGCUGGCAACGACAGGGUCCAGGUUAUUGUUGAUCAAUUGGAAGAGACAUGCAAAAGCAUUGAGGAGAACAGCAGACAUCAGAAACACUUGCUCAUGGAACAGUUUGACAAGUUAUACACUAUUCUGGAGCAAAGGAAAAAUGACAUGCUUCAAUCAAUUACAAAAGAACAGGAGGACAGAGUUGCAUUCAUCAAAGAUCUGAUCAGGCAGCACAAAGAGCAUCUAGAGGCAUCUUCUAAACUGAUAGAAAAUGCAAUUCAAUUCAUGGAGGAACCUGGAAUAGCUUCCUUUCUCGUGAAUGCAAAGAAACUCUUGGAAAAGAUCGUUGAUGCCUCCAGAACCUCCCACAUACCAGAAUAUGAAGACGGGUUUGAAAAUAUGGACCAAUUUUCAGUGGAUCUGGAAAUGGCAGAGGAAACCCUGAAGAAUAUAAGAUUUGGAAUAGGUAUUACCAUUAUGAGGAAGAGAUAGAGGAAGAAGUGGAGACUGAGGAGGAGGAUAUAGUGGAAGAUCAAGCUGAUGACCAGCAGUGACGCCAUUGUGGUGAUGACGUGGAAUGUCUUUUGUGAAUUCUUGGGAUUAUCUCACUCCCCCUGAAUCACAGACAGCUGAAGAAGAAGUCCAACUUGUUCAACAAUUUUCUUUUUGUUCAUAAAACUGUCUUUAAAAAAAAACAAAAACAAGUGUUUUUAUAUGGUGCAAAAUUAAGGGUUUUGUACAUUUUAUAUCUUAUUUUUGUAUAUAAUACAAUGGGUUGAUAAUUCAUUGUAUUUUUUUUAAACAAUGAGACUUAGCAUUCAGCAUAGCUUAAGUCCACCAUCUGCAAUAUGUCUGCUAUUCCAUUAGAUUUUUACUUGAAGCACUACAUUGUCGCAAUCCCCAGUUAGUGAUAGGCAAAGAUGCUUCCAUAAGUCACUAGUUCAUGGACUUUUUUGCUUGUAAAUCCCCUUUGCAAAUGGUUUCAGUCAUCACAGACCCCUUCGUCCUAUCUGAAUUCUCACAGUAUAAACUUCUUUCAUUUUGGCAUUUCUGCAAGUAAAAUUAAUUUGUAUCCCCAUUAAAGGGCUUUGUAGCUUUUCUCUAGUUCUGACUUAAAGCCCAGUUGCAUCACUGAUUGAUUGUCUUUCUGGAUCCUCUGGACAAGGUUGAUGUAGCAACUCCUUCAUACCCUUUCCUGAGUUCAGACCCAGGAACCCAUUCCUGGUCCCUCCAUUAUCUCUUACCUGCACUGUUGGGAUUUUCAGUCUGUCCAAAUCCCUGCUAAUCCUAUUACAGUGAGUGAACUCUCAGAUUUGUCCCUCCAGAAGAUCCAAAGCAACCAAAAUAAUAGCCAACAGUGUAUGCCAGGCUCACAUCAUCACAGCAAUAGAUCCCCUUUACCUUCUUUCCCACAGUACCUGAAAAGACUUUAUUAAAUCCCUGGGACCCCAGUUUGAGAACCACAGCUCUCAGUAUCACUAAAUGAAAACUGAAUGCAUUAAAGGCGGCAAAUGUAGAGCAAAGAAACAAGGAAAUAUUAAAACUAUCAGAUCAUUCUAAAAAAUUAAAUGAAUUAACGCUGGAGACUUGAAAUAAGAAAUAGAAAAUGGUGCAAGUAGGUGGCAAGUCAAUUACUAUUUUGAAGAACAGAUUUUUAGUCGUAGCAGAUUCCUGAGAUGUCAGUUUAAAAGCUCCAUUAUGAUAGUCACUUCAUUUUCAUGCCUGUAUGUUGUUUGAAAUUAUUC
This is an RNA transcript of Stegostoma tigrinum, 2402 nucleotides long. It is a transcript of the gene named E3 ubiquitin-protein ligase TRIM63-like, with no coding region annotated. Lineage: Eukaryota; Metazoa; Chordata; Chondrichthyes; Orectolobiformes; Stegostomatidae. The record is from RefSeq and is a predicted model, not a curated record. The transcript is spliced from 9 exons.